Molecule: long non-coding RNA, 5302 nt
Filed under: Nilaparvata lugens (brown planthopper)
Lineage: Eukaryota; Metazoa; Arthropoda; Insecta; Hemiptera; Delphacidae
Description: uncharacterized LOC120356524, transcript variant X12
Source: RNAcentral
ACCAAGAAAAAUCCUGCGAGCGUCUACCCGCCUUAAAUUACUCAUGCUUAAAGACCAGGCCUUACGGAAGAAGUUGUCAGAACUCGGGAUAACCAGCUUUGGACCUCGACAAUUAUUAGAAAGGCGCCACCGGGAGUGGUCAGCCCUGUGGAAUGCCAACUGUGAUGCCGUCCAGCCAAAGAGGCGUUCUGAGCUUCUCAACGAUCUAAGUGUCUGGGAAAGGGCACAGGGAGGACGCGCCUCGAUGCCCAGCAAAUCCCAACAGGCCUGGCCGUUAAGGAUAAGGACUUCGACACGGCUGCUUGGACUUCGAAACAUAACUCGUCGUUCAAGGAAUUGAUUGCAUCAGCACAGAAAAGCAGAUUGGAAGCGGCUAGCAAAGCUAAGGAACCUCAAUCUGCUUCUCGGAGCCGCUAAUUGCGGCCCCCGGUUCUACUGAUGCAUGACUUUUAUCUGAGUUUGCCUUCGCCGUCAAAGCACGACAUUAAACAGAGUUGUUCAAACUAUACCACGAGACACAAGCGCAUCAAAACUUGAAAAGUGCUCAACAAGUCUGUUGAUGAUUGCAAGCUUCCGGUAACUCAGACCUGUCCAUAUAAAUAUACCGUGUAUAUCGCGGCGGACACAGUGGCACCCAGUCACGCUACAUCUUGUGAUCAUACCAACGCAUCAGCUAGUCGAAGCCCAUCAAAGUCACCGCCGAGCCUAAUCAGCCUCUUCACCACUAUUUCGCUUCUACUCAUGCAUCCUCGAGCUCCUUCGCCUCUUUCUCUCCCUGAGAAAAAGUUCUAUCUCAGCGGUAAGUGUAGCCCAACUCACAUUAUAGGUAUGGAAGCCCGUCGUAACACGGAAGUCAUCUUCUCAGUCCGACGGCACGUAUCAAAACUUGAACAGACGUUCCCGCUAAUGCCUAGCAUUCGGCAGGCAGUAAAAACCGACAUGAUGGCUUUUCUGGGUUGGAAAUUGGAGACGUGCAGGCUUUUCAUUGAUCUUGAUUAAGCUAAAAGAUUAAGCUGAAACGGAAGUCAAUCAGCCGUUCCUAGGGAUCAACAAAGUUGCAUGCCUCUAGAAGGCCAAUUAUCGUCUCCCGCAUUGUAUAGUUGAACGAUAACCCGGUAAAACAAUUGGACUUGGAUGAGUGCCGACCAAGGACGAGAUCUUGGUUGGGAAAUGUGGUGCAUUCGCUGGAGCUAGAAAUACAAAAUCAUCGCAAAAGCGGCUUUUUAUUACGGACGUAAUCUCUGAGAGAUUUUUUUAAGUGAGUUUUGCCCUUUUGCGCCACAGUGAGUGCACCACCUCUUCUGGUGACCCACACAUAGUGCCGAUGCAAUUUGGUGGCCGGAUUUGCCGUUACUCGAAAAGUUGCUGAAGUUGCUCAAAAGUCCUGUUAAAGUUGGUCUCUUUCUCGGCCGUCCCUGCUGUAGCAGUGGACGGAUGAGGCUUCGGUGAAGUACACGACCGAAAGCGCCAUUUAUAUGUAACGUCAUGAUGCCAGCUACUUGGCUGUCAGCUCUUGCCUCUUCCACAUACACUAGCGCAAUGGUCAGGUUGAUGAACUUAGCGCUUGCUCGAUGAAGGCUCAACUUGGCUAUCCCAUAUGGCCUUGACGAAUUUCGACUUAGGACGAACUACCUGAAGAUUUUUUUGCCUGUCAGUGAACAAGGUCCUGCGACAUGUCAUGAUGAACGAUUCUAAAGACAUGCUGUAGGCUAGGCCGUGUCGCCACUUUGCGGAUAGUCAAACAAUGGUCAUUAUGACGCGUACGUUUGAAUGUAUUUCGAAGGAUCCGUUGACAAGUGUGUGAGGGAUAUCAAAACGCAAAAUAAUCGUGGAAGGUUAAAGGGCAAAGUCGUCGGUUCCGUGAAGUCAGUGACUUCACGGAACCGACACUUGGCCUGUCACUUCAAGUCACAGGCGCGGCAAAGUUGUGCCUUCGUCGACAUGUUAAAGCGGACCAUGAUGGCGCGAAAGGUGUUCGCUAUGCAAAAGGGGGAAAAGACGGAGGUCUUGUUCUUUGCAACCCGGUUUUCGUGCCCUCACUCCUGCCCCCGCAACUUUGGUUGACCUUUCUUCUCAAUCGGACUCUUUUGGCCCAGUCUACUCAACACUUGGUCGUCGCGUGCCUCACCAAUUAUGCACUACGCCCCUCCGCCUUACCCUGAGGGCGACUGAUGAUCAAAGGCGAUCGACUGUCCCCGGUUCAGUGCCACACGCCUUGUUCACUCUCUUCCCGCGAUAAGAAGGGAACCUGACGGCCCGAAAAGCACCUCGAUCUCCGCACUUUUUAGAACGAUUCGUUGACUGAUCAGACGCCGCUUUCCCUCAAAAGAUCGGGAGUGACCGCGCGCGGUGGAUAGCAAAAACCAAUUCAGCCUAAAAAGAAGGUCCACACAAACCAGAAGAUUCUCCCCAAGCACGGGAUCCCUGUUUCGCUCGCUUGAAAGGCCGAAAGCCCCGACACUACUGGGCUUUCGGACUCUUGGACUUUCGGAGACUUGUCUUCCCGUCCCGCAUUGAGCAUGCCAGAGCAUCAAGAUGCGAUGACUACGUACACAUUCUGUUGCUUCUACUCACUUCAAAGCCUCGGAAAUUGAAUUGGGUUUCCGGGGAACAGGGUCCGCGACGCUAGUAGCCAAGUCCUGGACUCGCAACAACGAACUAGCAUGACCCCCUAACUCAGCUGUGAGCAUAUCAUGACGCAGCAACACUUCACAUAAAGAUUCCAUCGACUUUCACAGUUGAUUUUCGGAUAUUAUCUUCCUUGCCGCACCUGGAGACUCUUGUCCGUGAUGCUGCGUGUUGGACGCGCUAUACCGUUUAGGACUUGAAUAGAGCCUCAAUAGACUACCAACUGCCACAAAGAUCAGACGAGCAGGGCAAUGUGUUCAAGGUCAAAGCGUCGCAUGCGAUGACCUUCCUUUUCUUGGAUUGGAUGGACUUGGACGAUCCCCUCCAUCGGCUCAAGGUUUAGGCCAGGGCCCAAAAAUGCGAAUCACUCAACGCUUGCCUUUGACCUCACCAGCCCAGCCCACCCCUGGUACAGCCUUGCGGCUUUCAUCUUCACCUUGCCGAAAACGGGGCCUGAAGUCGCCGUGUUCGGAUACAACAAGCCUGUUCGAAAGAUGUCUAUUCACAGCUUCAUGUGGGGCAAUAGAGAAAGCUGAGGUGGCUUGAGUUUAUUGACACGAUGCUGCUCACAUUUUCAACUGCUAUACUUAUGGCUCGUCGAUACCCAUGAUUCAAGCCACCCUAGGCUUCCAAAUCAGGCAGCUUAUCCACACCUGAUCUGUCAAAGAGGAGCCCGGUGAUGAGACAAAGCUCGCAAUGAGCUUGGCCACUCUGAGUUCUCACCGGCGAGUCUCCGUCCGAGAAGAGAGCUUAUUGACAGCCCUUCAAUAAACAGCUCAUAUACCACACGCUGUUAUUUUGACCAAAGCUUCCGUGCGGAAAAGUGCAAAAGCACAGUGCUACGACGUAAGGCAACGACCGGCCGUUCUCGCCAGCAUCGUGGUUCGCACCUCUCGACAAAGUUUGAUCAUAUCUGUUGCCGAAAUCAAUAGCCCUGUCAGGCUCUCCGAAACUCACGCAUUUUUUCAUCGCUGCCUUGAUACCGAGUUUUAGCAACAUUUAACAUACAUCUGACAACAUACAGCAAGUCAGACAUCUUCAGAUCUACCCUUCACACAACUACAAACAUGAAGCCUUCCAUCAUCACGGCAUUAUCUGCGAUGAGAGUCCUUGUUGCUCCCCGCCCCAAUAUCAGCCCUACGUGCCUUUCUCAAGAUCUGGCAUGUUGAAAGAUCAAAAAUGCCGUCGAGGUCUUUUCGGAAAUCAUGCAGUCGCCGUCGAAGAACCUGACAACUGGGCUCAAAUCUGGCGGCCCUGCUGGCGGGGCCGCUUAUGUCGCCAAGCGAGCCAUCAAGGAGCUCGCUCAGGUCAUGGCAUUGACUUUGCACGACCCGGAAAAUUUCAUCAACAGGUUUAGCUUUCCUAAAAGUACCAACAAUAAGGGCGAGGAGAGCAACUUGGAGAGAAGCGGUCGUCUUGGUGCUUCCGCAGGUGGCGAUUCUGCCGCAAGCGCGACCUAACAAGCUUGCCACGCCAACCUCGGACUGGGAAUCGUGCCGAGCAGAGGGAGCGCCAUGCUGGCUGGCUAGACGCGUCGCCAGUUCUGUGCUCAACGAAAUUGAAUCGGUCUGUGAAAAGAAGAGGUCUCUACUAAUACAUCUGUUCAGGAGACAUAAGAGUGCCACCGUCCGGGGCAGCCGUGCUGAGCAAGCAAGCGAAACCUUUUUGGCCUUCCAGAAUGUUGCCAAAAGAUAUGGCUUUGGAGUUUGAUUAGAGUCGAGGCCAAACCUCUGGCUCUUCGAAAUCCACAGUUCUUUUUUACUUGGAUACAAUAUGGGGUGUCCCGAGUUAUCAAGCUUGCUGCCUCGGCGAUUCAGCACCCGACCCUCCCUUGUGUUCUCCUUGGCACCAGCCUCAGCCGCCCCGGUGCUUCAGAGAAUUUGCUUUGCUCGGCAAUCAGUUUAUUCUUUGUACAUUGCUUUUCGUCAGAUUUUGUCACGAUUGCCCCUCGUUUAAGCCUCCGUGCUCAUCAUGUCUCCAAAAAAACGGUUACAAGUAUCAAUGUUUUCAUAAAUAUUUUUUAUGCGGGUAGAUUCAAUCUCGCGAAAUUUAGCCAUACCAAUCAAGGUGACCGGCGUCAUACAUGAUUACCACCAUGCUCUUUCCUUCCUAUGAUGCGGGCGACGUAGCGACGAGAUCUUCUCGCGACCUUGCAGAUAAGUAGGUUUGAGGGUAAAGAUCGAUACCGGGUGGCAGUUAUCGUCCUGAUUAGCUCGAAUUUCGGACCACUGAUGCUUCAGAGGAGUUGAAAUCUCCGAAAGUUCAAAGGCUUCUCAUUGGUGACCAGAGGAACUCGUUUAUCUUCGAAUGAAAUCCUUCCGUGAUAGUCGUACAGUAGCCUGUGAGCUUGCUGAUCAAGCCCUUCCGAAGUCUGGGCCAAGGGACAGUGAAGACGGUAGUGCCGCUGUAUAUCUACAACAGAUGGUAGGAUGAGAAAGGAAAAGAAGGACAUGUACGCCUAAUCAUUGCGAUCCUCCCCACGGCGGUGCGCAUGAAAGGACACCUGAGAAGCACCGCACCCAAGAUUGUGCGUUGAGUUUAUAUUCUCCGUCACCUGUUCUCUCGCGCAGAUCGUCGUGGGCACUAUCCUAAAAAUAGGAUGCACCUCGGAUGGCAGUACAGAGGCGAACGUGGACGUUAGAUUUGCGUUGUUCAAUUUUGAAUGAAAGGCAAA